UACAGAGGGUGCAAGCGUUGUUCGGAUUUACUGGGCGUAAAGGGCGCGUAGGCGGCGUGACAAGUCACUUGUGAAAUCUCCGGGCUUAACUCGGAACGGUCAAGUGAUACUGUCGUGCUAGAGUACAGAAGGGGCAACUGGAAUUCUCGGUGUAGCGGUGAAAUGCGUAGAUAUCGAGAGGAACACCUGCGGCGAAGGCGGGUUGCUGGGCUGAUACUGACGCUGAGGCGCGAAAGCCAGGGGAGCGAACGGG
RNAcentral lists this ribosomal RNA (253 nucleotides) under uncultured bacterium. RNAcentral's name for it is "partial 16S ribosomal RNA". It matches the Rfam family "Bacterial small subunit ribosomal RNA", at positions 524 to 776 of the family's 1533-position model. The record is from RNAcentral.